CCCUUAGAUGUUCUGGGCAGCACGCGCGCUACAAUGGUCUUCGCAAACGGAUGCAUUCUCGAAGGAGAAUGCCAAUCUUGGAAUCUAUGCCUUGGUCGGGACAGUUGCUUGCAAUUUUUCGACUCGAACCAGGAAUUCCUUGUAAUCGUGAUUCAUCACAUCACGAUGAAUACGUCCCUGCCCUUUGUACACACCGCCCGUCGCACCUACCGAUUGAAUGGUCCGGUGAAAUCUUCGGACCGGGAACAGCGACCUCUGGCGUGGGCUUGCUCACUCAGGGGACGCUGUCCCGGGAAGUUGCUUAAAUCUUACCAUUUAGAGGAAGGUGAAGUCGUAACA
Molecule: ribosomal RNA, 339 nt
Filed under: uncultured eukaryote
Lineage: Eukaryota
Description: partial 18S ribosomal RNA
Rfam family: Eukaryotic small subunit ribosomal RNA
Source: RNAcentral